Molecule: unclassified non-coding RNA, 250 nt
Filed under: Hevea brasiliensis (rubber tree)
Lineage: Eukaryota; Viridiplantae; Streptophyta; Magnoliopsida; Malpighiales; Euphorbiaceae
Source: RNAcentral
GUGGCAUACUAGGACCAUUCUGAGUGUUGUUCAGGGAUCUUUCACAUAUCACAAGGCUACCAUCUUCCAUAACAGAUGUAUACCGCAUUAACCAAAAGUCACGAGCUGGUGCCAGUGUAGUAGGUGCAUAGAGCUGCAUGUAUAGCAAUUCAAUGGUUCCACCGUUUCCAGUGGACAUCACAUUGAGAACAUCCACUGCUCGGCAGUCACGAAACCAUGAUGGCCGAUCUUUAAGAAUUUCAGCAACUCU